Molecule: ribosomal RNA, 429 nt
Filed under: Acidobacteriota bacterium
Lineage: Bacteria; Pseudomonadati; Acidobacteriota
Description: Acidobacteria bacterium partial 16S ribosomal RNA
Rfam family: Bacterial small subunit ribosomal RNA
Source: RNAcentral
UGGGGAAUUUUGGACAAUGGGGGAAACCCUGAUCCAGCCAUCCCGCGUGUGCGAUGAAGGCCUUCGGGUUGUAAAGCACUUUUGGCAGGAAAGAAACGUCAUGGGUUAAUACCCCGUGAAACUGACGGUACCUGCAGAAUAAGCACCGGCUAACUACGUGCCAGCAGCCGCGGUAAUACGUAGGGUGCAAGCGUUAAACGGAAUUACUGGGCGUAAAGCGUGCGCAGGCGGUUCGGAAAGAAAGAUGUGAAAUCCCAGAGCUCAACUUUGGAACUGCAUUUUUAACUACCGGGCUAGAGUGUGGCAGAGGGAGGUGGAAUUCCGCGUGGAGCAGUGAAAUGCGUAGAUAUGCGGAGGAACACCGAUGGCGAAGGCAGCCUCCUGGGAUAACACUGACGCUCAUGCACGAAAGCGUGGGGAGCAAACAGG